GAUGAACGCUGGCGGCGUGCCUAAUACAUGCAAGUCGAGCGAACAGACGAGGAGCUUGCUCCUCUGACGUUAGCGGCGGACGGGUGAGUAACACGUGGAUAACCUACCUAUAAGACUGGGAUAACUUCGGGAAACCGGAGCUAAUACCGGAUAAUAUAUUGAACCGCAUGGUUCAAUAGUUAAAGACGGCUUUGCUGUCACUUAUAGAUGGAUCCGCGCCGCAUUAGCUAGUUGGUAAGGUAACGGCUUACCAAGGCGACGAUGCGUAGCCGACCUGAGAGGGUGAUCGGCCACACUGGAACUGAGACACGGUCCAGACUCCUACGGGAGGCAGCAGUAGGGAAUCUUCCGCAAAGGGCGAAAGCCUGACGGAGCAACGCCGCGUGAGUGAUGAAGGUCUUCGGAUCGUAAAACUCUGUUAUUAGGGAAGAACAGAUGUGUAAGUAAAUAUGCACGUCUUGACGGUACCUAAUCAGAAAGCCACGGCUAACUACGUG
RNAcentral lists this ribosomal RNA (497 nucleotides) under uncultured bacterium. RNAcentral's name for it is "partial 16S ribosomal RNA". It matches the Rfam family "Bacterial small subunit ribosomal RNA", at positions 28 to 507 of the family's 1533-position model. The record is from RNAcentral.